Long non-coding RNA from Rhinolophus ferrumequinum (greater horseshoe bat), 395 nucleotides. RefSeq lists it as uncharacterized. The transcript has 3 exons. The record is from RefSeq and is a predicted model, not a curated record. NCBI's taxonomy places the organism in Eukaryota, Metazoa, Chordata, Mammalia, Chiroptera, Rhinolophidae.
AUUUCUACUAUAAUUAACCCCAGGGUGCUGCUUUUUCCUUUUCUCUCUUCUGUAUUUCGCUAGUUAAUGCCCAAAAUGUUGACCAUUCACUCUGCCCUCAAAGAAGCCCUGCUGCCAGGGCUGGUGGCUACAGCUUUCAGCUACACACACUCAGGGAUCAGUAAUGCCACUACACUCUACCUGUGAGUCACCCCGUGUGCGCCUUCUUCCUUACUUCUCAGGAGCUGCCACCUAAUCCUGUGAUCACUGCCGCCUAUGGGGAAUUUAAAGACCACCAGUUCAGAAGAAACGAGACACCUGAGUCUUCUCUGCUUUUUUAAGCAAUUGGUCUAUGGGUGGGGACACGGCAUAUCAAUGGCUCACUUACUGCUGGUAAAGGCAUUCCUACCUCUGGC